This 507-nucleotide ribosomal RNA is filed under the name uncultured bacterium. Its description in RNAcentral is "partial 16S ribosomal RNA". It matches the Rfam family "Bacterial small subunit ribosomal RNA", at positions 355 to 853 of the family's 1533-position model. The record is from RNAcentral.
UAGGGAAUCUUCCACAAUGGACGAAAGUCUGAUGGAGCAACGCCGCGUGAGUGAUGAAGGGUUUCGGCUCGUAAAACUCUGUUGUUGGAGAAGAACAGGUGAUAGAGUAACUGUUAUCAUCUUGACGGUAUCCAACCAGAAAGCCACGGCUAACUACGUGCCAGCAGCCGCGGUAAUACGUAGGUGGCAAGCGUUGUCUGGAUUUAUUGGGCGUAAAGCGAGCGCAGGCGGUUUUUUAGGUCUGAUGUGAAAGCCUUCGGCUUAACCGGAGAAGGGCAUCGGAAACCGGGAGACUUGAGUGCAGAAGAGGACAGUGGAACUCCAUGUGUAGCGGUGAAAUGCGUAGAUAUAUGGAAGAACACCAGUGGCGAAGGCGGCUGUCUGGUCUGUAACUGACGCUGAGGCUCGAAAGCAUGGGUAGCGAACAGGAUUAGAUACCCUGGUAGUCCAUGCCGUAAACGAUGAGUGCUAAGUGUUGGAGGGUUUCCGCCCUUCAGUGCUGCAGCU